This 497-nucleotide ribosomal RNA is filed under the name uncultured bacterium. Its description in RNAcentral is "partial 16S ribosomal RNA". It matches the Rfam family "Bacterial small subunit ribosomal RNA", at positions 28 to 507 of the family's 1533-position model. The record is from RNAcentral.
GAUGAACGCUGGCGGCGUGCCUAAUACAUGCAAGUCGAGCGAACGGACGAGAAGCUUGCUUCUCUGAUGUUAGCGGCGGACGGGUGAGUAACACGUGGAUAACCUACCUAUAAGACUGGGGUAACUUCGGGAAACCGGAGCUAAUACCGGAUAAUAUUUUGAACCGCAUGGUUCAAAAGUGAAAGACGGUCUUGCUGUCACUUAUAGAUGGAUCCGCGCUGCAUUAGCUAGUUGGUAAGGUAACGGCUUACCAAGGCAACGAUGCAUAGCCGACCUGAGAGGGUGAUCGGCCACACUGGAACUGAGACACGGUCCAGACUCCUACGGGAGGCAGCAGUAGGGAAUCUUCCGCAAUGGGCGAAAGCCUGACGGAGCAACGCCGCGUGAGUGAUGAAGGUCUUCGGAUCGUAAAACUCUGUUAUUAGGGAAGAACAUAUGUGUAAGUAACUGUGCACAUCUUGACGGUACCUAAUCAGAAAGCCGCGGCUAACUACGUG